Molecule: long non-coding RNA, 1307 nt
Filed under: Homo sapiens (human)
Lineage: Eukaryota; Metazoa; Chordata; Mammalia; Primates; Hominidae
Description: HSALNT0073954
Source: RNAcentral
GAAAUCCAAAAGAUCCAAACUUUUUUUAAACUUAAAAAAUCUCUUUGUAGUAUGUCAGUUGCACUUUUUUUCUGCCAUAAUGUAACGUAGCUUGCCCCGUCAAAAAUUCAAUUAAAAUUCAUGGCCAGCAAUCCUGUUCCCCCUCAGCAUCCUGAUUUAAUUUUCCUGUUGCUUUUGCUUGCUUCUCCAUUUAAUAGUUACUGAACUUUAUGCAUGUUGAUCUAUAUUGAUUUUCACUGCAGUUGAAUGAACAAAUUAUUUCAGUGUGACAGCCAUGACUCAAGUUCCAAUUAGUCUGAAAAGGGUACUUUGGAAUUGUCCCAUAUUAAUCAGAGAUGGCAAAAGAAAAAGUUCUCAUAUUACCAGGUUGAUUUUGUGUCUCAUUUCAAAUUUUAAUUUAAAAUUAUGGUUUUCAUUUUUGUUUACCUUAAAGUGAUGCUUAAAAGUGGCAUGUAAUUAGGACACUUAGGUUUGUUGAAAGCAUUUUCGACAUUUGUAUAAAAGAAUUUGUGAUAAAUAUAUCCAGGUGCUCACCAAAGAAACAUGUAUUAACAACUUAAAUUAGAUUUUUCUAACUGAUAGUUUUCACUCAUUUAUAAUCAGUAGGAGAGACUGUCUAGAUGUUGGGGCAGCUCUAUGAUUUAAGUCUGUAACAUGUUAUAACUGAAUUUAGUACCCUAGUUUUGUUAAGCUAUUAGGAUUUUCUAAUAGAACUUACUCCCCCUGCCUCCCCAGCCUUAUGUUUCUUUUAAUGACUUCUGGAUCCUGAGCUCCCUUUGCAGUCUGAAAAAGGUAUUGCAGUCAGAACUGUGUACUGAUGAUAAAAGCCUCUGGUAGCAAUAAAAAGUUGUCCUUAACUUUUGUUUUUCAGUUGUAUGAAAGCUUGUAUAUAGAUUCAUUUAUUCCUGUAUCUUCUCAAUUGUUUCUUUCUUGUAUUUGCCCUUUUUCUUUCCUACUUGGCAAGAUUUGGCUUUCUGUUCAUGGAUCUUUUUAUGGUCUUUGUCCACUUUUAGCCUAGUGAUAACCACUUUGCUGGGGUGAAUGCCUACACGGACAGUUGUACCAUUAGCCUUUUGCUGCUGCACCCAUUCAGUGUAGAUGACAUCUUUCUUCCUGUAAACCUUGAGUACGUGGCCAAUUUGCUGACCUUUACAAUGUCCUUGCACAGUCUGAACAUCAUCCUUCCGGAUGGUCAUGGAUCAAACGUCGUACUUCUGUCUUAGCUCUUUGGAAACGGGGGAAGACAUAAUCUUCUUCCAAAUGUGUGAAAGCGCAUUGAAAUGCCUUUUGCAGUUCUUGCUUCGGUC